UACGUAGGGUGCGAGCGUUGUCCGGAAUUAUUGGGCGUAAAGAGCUCGUAGGCGGUUUGUCGCGUCGACUGUGAAAACCUACAGCUUAACUGUGGGCUUGCAGUCGAUACGGGCAGACUUGAGUUCGGUAGGGGAGACUGGAAUUCCUGGUGUAGCGGUGAAAUGCGCAGAUAUCGGGAGGAACACCGGUGGCGAAGGCGGUUCUCUGGGCCUUACCUGACGCUGAGGAGCGAAAGCGUGGGGAGCGAACAGG
RNAcentral lists this ribosomal RNA (253 nucleotides) under uncultured bacterium. RNAcentral's name for it is "partial 16S ribosomal RNA". It matches the Rfam family "Bacterial small subunit ribosomal RNA", at positions 524 to 776 of the family's 1533-position model. The record is from RNAcentral.